UGGGGAAUAUUGGACAAUGGGCGCAAGCCUGAUCCAGCCAUGCCGCGUGAAUGACGAAGGCCUUCGGGUUGUAAAGUUCUUUUAGUGGGGAAAAUAAUGAUGGUACCCACAGAAAAAGCUCCGGCUAACUUCGUGCCAGCAGCCGCGGUAAUACGAAGGGGGCUAGCGUUGCUCGGAAUUACUGGGCGUAAAGCGUUUGUAGGCGGUCUUUUAAGCCAGUGGUGAAAGCCUGGAGCUCAACUCCAGAAUUGCCAUUGGGACUGAAAGGCUAGAGGAUGUUAGAGGUAAGUGGAAUUCCUAGUGUAGGAGUGAAAUCCGUAGAGAUUAGGAGGAAUAUCGAUGGCGAAGGCAGCUUACUGGGACAUUUCUGACGCUGAGAAACGAAAGCGUGGGUAGCAAA
Molecule: ribosomal RNA, 400 nt
Filed under: uncultured bacterium
Lineage: Bacteria
Description: bacterial SSU rRNA
Rfam family: Bacterial small subunit ribosomal RNA
Source: RNAcentral